RNAcentral lists this unclassified non-coding RNA (90 nucleotides) under Pseudomonas mediterranea. The record is from RNAcentral. Lineage: Bacteria; Pseudomonadati; Pseudomonadota; Gammaproteobacteria; Pseudomonadales; Pseudomonadaceae.
UGUGGGAGCGAGCCUGCUCGCGAUGAGGCAGUGUCAGUCGACAUCUUAGUCGGCUGACCCUCUGCUAUCGCGAGCAGGCUCGCUCCCACA